RNAcentral lists this ribosomal RNA (292 nucleotides) under uncultured bacterium. RNAcentral describes it as "partial 16S ribosomal RNA". It matches the Rfam family "Bacterial small subunit ribosomal RNA", at positions 505 to 796 of the family's 1533-position model. The record is from RNAcentral.
GUGUCAGCCGCCGCGGUAAUACGGAGGGUGCGAGCGUUAUCCGGAUUUACUGGGUUUAAAGGGUGUGUAGGCGGAUUUUUAAGUCAGUGGUGAAAUCUCGGGGCUCAACCCCGAAACUGCCAUUGAUACUAUUAGUCUUGAAUACUGUGGAGGUGAGCGGAAUGUGUCAUGUAGCGGUGAAAUGCAUAGAGAUGACACAGAACACCGAUUGCGAAGGCAGCUCACUACGCAGUUAUUGACGCUGAGGCACGAAAGCGUGGGGAUCAAACAGGAUUAGAUACCCCGGUAGUCC